ACCUCCUGGGAGCUGGUGGCAGAGCUGGGCCAGACAUCCAGGUCCCCCGUUCGCAGUGACUACAGCUGUGGUCUGGUUGUGGGAGACGGCGCUCCCUGGGGACCCGGCAGGCCUUGCUGCUCUGGCUUGAGUCUCCAGAGCAGCCGCAGGACGGAGAUCUCCCAGCCGCGCAGGCCCAUUGCCCAAGACGGAUGAGCUGCUCCCACGCCCUGAGAAGAGCGAGAGCGUGAAAUGGGCGCCGCUCCCGCCCUCUGGCUAAUGGCCCAUCCUCUCCGGCCAUUGCCUCCAAGAGCCCAUUGAGCGCCGCAGGGGGAG
Molecule: long non-coding RNA, 315 nt
Filed under: Equus caballus (horse)
Lineage: Eukaryota; Metazoa; Chordata; Mammalia; Perissodactyla; Equidae
Description: lncRNA (ENSECAG00000048787.1)
Source: RNAcentral